RNAcentral lists this unclassified non-coding RNA (285 nucleotides) under plant metagenome. RNAcentral describes it as "partial contains small subunit ribosomal RNA, internal transcribed spacer 1, and 5.8S ribosomal RNA". The stretch from base 1 to 54 matches the Rfam family "Eukaryotic small subunit ribosomal RNA", at positions 1778 to 1831 of the family's 1831-position model. The record is from RNAcentral.
GUAAGUAAAAGUCGUAACAAGGUUUCCGUAGGUGAACCUGCGGAAGGAUCAUUAUUGUAUAACCGAGGUGCGAGGGCUGUCGCUGACCCGAAAGGUCGUGCACGCCCGAGUGCCCUCACACACAUCCAUCUCACCCCUAUGUGCACCACCGCGUGGGUCCCCCUUUGGCUUGUUCGGAGGGGGGCUUACGUUUUCACACAAACUUUGUAUGCAGUGUAGAAUGUAUUUUUUGUUUUUGCGAUCACGCAAUCAAUACAACUUUCAACAACGGAUCUCUUGGCUCUC